Armigeres subalbatus is the source of this 1254-nucleotide long non-coding RNA. RefSeq lists it as uncharacterized. The record is from RefSeq and is a predicted model, not a curated record. The transcript has 4 exons. Lineage: Eukaryota; Metazoa; Arthropoda; Insecta; Diptera; Culicidae.
UUGUCUGUUUGUUUUUCUGCCUUUCUGCCUCACCUUGCGACGUCGUUUCGGUUUUGCAUCGUGCACAAAUAUUAAUCCAAGACAACAUUUUCAAAACGACUUGUCUACUUAUAAGUCGUUUUGAAAAUUUUGUCUUGAAUCCGUAUCGAAAACAUUACAUGAGCGUGAGUUCGACCGUUUUGGUGCCAUCAAAAAGAUCGAAUAUAACAAAGGGGACACCCAGGCCUACAUUCUGUACGAUUAUAUUGAUGCUGCUACGGCUGCUGUGAAGGAAAUGCGUAUGCACCGAUUCACGAGCAGCUACCGAAGGCCGCCAUCAAGCACUGUCGACGUUUACCCUGUCACCAAAAUAGCGGCUCCGGUAAUGUAGUUGUUCCCUCGUCGAAUCGGGUUGCGAAAUGCUGGAACCGAUACUAACCGUCAAGUCGGAAAGCCCCAGGAAAACGAGGACGGAAUCUCGGGCCACUGGAAGGGAAGACCAGUCACCCCCGCCAGCCAACGAUAGGUCCCUCCAUCAGGACAAUCCAACAAACUGAUUCUUCAUGCAUCCACCGAAGGCCGCAUAAACUGCCGUCAUCCGGUACUGGCUCGACUUUUCCCCUGUCACUAUUCCUAGCGGUUCCGUCGUCGGCUAGGUUGCGGAAUGUUUAUUCUGCUGCAGGUCAAUGAAAAAGGCAAACCUCCGCAACCAAAAAAAAACAGCAGGAGACAGAAUCUCGUGUGACGGAACGAUUGCCGUAAGCUUGAGAACCGGGUGGAAACGGAUCUACUCGCAUCUACUCGAGGAACUCGACUUUAAGGGCCGGAUGGAACUGUACUCCCAGUCUGGUAAAUCCGUGAAGUUAUCAAGCGCUAGAACACUUGGACACUGCGGAAGGUGGCCCUCGUCGUAGGAGUCUGGCGAGCAACGAAAGGAGUCAAGCAGAAUAUAUUGAGCACGAUUAUGCUGGUACCACCAACGUAUUCAUCAUUGGUUAUACGCAACCACCGGACGACAGUAGCAAUGGACAUUAGUGCACACAAUUAUCACAUGGAUUACAACCGCUACGUAGACUGACCGAUACACCACCAGCACAACUAUCGCAAUAAUGUUAACGGCGGUUAUGAAAUGAUGAACAGCAAGGAUAUGGCACUGGACUUCGGUACUGUUCAAGACACACAAUGAGCAUAUAAAUGCAAUAAUUAUUUUUAAAUAAAUAUGUGAAUUUAAUUGAAAUUGAAAAUGCACAAAUCUUGUUAUUUCGAAAGUUUCAU